GACGAACGCUGGCGGCGUGGAUUAGGCAUGCAAGUCGGACGGUAGGGCUUUAUCGUAAGAUAGAGUUUGAGAGUGGCGAACGGGUGAGUAACACGUAGGAAUCUACCCUUAAGACGGGGACAACCCAGGGAAACUUGGGCUAAUACCGGAUGAGAGUGCGAGAGAUUGCAUUUAAAAGGAUGGCGAAAGUUGUCGCUUAGGGAUGAGCCUGCGGUCUAUUAGUUAGUUGGUGAGGUAAGAGCUCACCAAGGCGAUGAUAGAUAGGCGGCCUUAACGGGUGGUCGCCCACACUGGGAUUGAGAUACGGCCCAGACUCCUACGGGAGGCAGCAGUCGAGAAUAGUCUACAAUGGCCGGAAGGCUGAUAGUGCGACGCCGCGUGAACGAGGGAGCCCUUCGGGGUGUAAAGUUCUUUUCUAUACGAGCAGUGCUAUAUAUAAUGGAUAGUAAUAUAUAGAAGGGAUAGUAAGUAUAGGAAUAAAGCAACGGCUAAACUACCGUGCCAGC
RNAcentral lists this ribosomal RNA (506 nucleotides) under uncultured bacterium. Its description in RNAcentral is "bacterial SSU rRNA". It matches the Rfam family "Bacterial small subunit ribosomal RNA", at positions 28 to 512 of the family's 1533-position model. The record is from RNAcentral.